RNAcentral lists this ribosomal RNA (408 nucleotides) under uncultured bacterium. RNAcentral's name for it is "partial 16S ribosomal RNA". It matches the Rfam family "Bacterial small subunit ribosomal RNA", at positions 28 to 526 of the family's 1533-position model. The record is from RNAcentral.
GACGAACGCUGGCGGCGUGCUUAACACAUGCAAGUCGAACGAAGUGGCGAACGGGUGAGUAACGCGUAAUCAACCUGCCCUUCAGAGGGGGACAACAGUUGGAAACGACUGCUAAUACCGCAUACUGAAGGAGGGGAUUGCGUCUGUUUAGCUAGUUGGAGGGGGAACGGCCCACCAAGGCGAUGAUCAGUAGCCGGGCUGGGGAGAGGAACGGCCACAUUGGGGCUGGAAAACGGCCCAGACUCCUACGGGAGGCAGCAGUGGGGAAUCUUCCGCAAUGGACGAAAGGCUGGCGGAGCAACGCCGCGGGAGUGAUGACGGCCUUCGGGUUGUAAAGCUCUGUUAAUCGGGACGCGGUACCGGAAUAGAAAGCCACGGCUAACUACGUGCCAGCAGCCGCGGUAAUUC